AGGACGAACGCUGGCGGCGUGCUUAACACAUGCAAGUCGAGCGGAAAGGCCCUUCGGGGUACUCGAGCGGCGAACGGGUGAGUAACACGUGAGUAACCUGCCCUUGGCUCUGGGAUAGCUCCGGGAAACCGGAAUUAAUACCGGAUAUGACUUCGGCCGACAUCGGCUGCGGUGGAAAGAUUUAUCGGCCAGGGAUGGGCUCGCGGCCUAUCAGCUAGUUGGUGGGGUAACGGCCUACCAAGGCGACGACGGGUAGCCGGCCUGAGAGGGCGACCGGCCACACUGGGACUGAGACACGGCCCAGACUCCUACGGGAGGCAGCAGUGGGAAUAUUGCGCAAUGGGCGAAAGCCUGACGCAGCGACGCCGCGUGGGGGAUGAAGGCCUUCGGGUUCGUAAACCCUUUCGGCAGGGACGAAGCGAAAGUGACGGUACCUGCAGAAGAAGCGCCGGCUAACACGUGCCAGCAGCCGC
RNAcentral lists this ribosomal RNA (473 nucleotides) under uncultured bacterium. RNAcentral describes it as "SSU rRNA". It matches the Rfam family "Bacterial small subunit ribosomal RNA", at positions 26 to 518 of the family's 1533-position model. The record is from RNAcentral.